AUGGAGGCGGAGAGGUCCGCCGUAGAGGGGAUCCAGGUGCCGGAGAGGAGGAAGAAGGUGGUGAAUGCCACACAUCAGCAGUCGUCCUCCCACGCCAGACACGCCCAUGUUCUGUUGCUGCUGAUCCCGCAUCACGGUGCACAUAAACUGUUUGAGGUUAAAAUGACGGUUGUUCUUGGGGAGCUUGGAGGAAGUGAUGAGUAUUCGCUCCUCGAAUCCUUGAAACAAGGAAAGGUCGAGAAACCUGUUGUUGCUUGGGGUGCAGUGAGUGGUGGUGAGUUGGAAUCUACACAAGCUAAGAAUCAGGCACUAAGGGAUGCUGGGGCUGUUGUUCCUACUUCAUUUGAAGCUCUUGAAAGGAUUAAGGAUUUCAGAAGCUGGUUGAGGAAGGAAAAAUUCCUCCUGUCCCUGAGGUUACACCUCCCCCCAUUCCUGAAGAUCUUAAAACUGCCAUUGAAAGUGGGAAGGUCUGAGCUCUUACAAUUUAUCUCCACUAUCUCUGAGGAUAGAGGUUAG
This 516-nucleotide ribosomal RNA is filed under the name Triticum aestivum (bread wheat). Its description in RNAcentral is "partial small subunit ribosomal RNA". The record is from RNAcentral. Lineage: Eukaryota; Viridiplantae; Streptophyta; Magnoliopsida; Poales; Poaceae.